Long non-coding RNA from Cyprinus carpio (common carp), 697 nucleotides. RefSeq lists it as uncharacterized. Lineage: Eukaryota; Metazoa; Chordata; Actinopteri; Cypriniformes; Cyprinidae. The record is from RefSeq and is a predicted model, not a curated record. The transcript is spliced from 5 exons.
CAAAUCAGCGUGUCAUGCGCAGAAACGUAAGAAAGUGUGCCGUUUUGGCGAGAUUUUAGCGGGUUUUUAAAAUUUAUCAGGAAGCUGAAUUUGGAUUGGAAUGACGAGGAAUUAUUUCACUCUGGCGUGCCUAAUCGUACAUGACUUUGAGGAGACGACGUGCGCUACCAUCCCAGCACGUCGUAUUUGAAUAUGGACAAAAAAACAGAUCAGACAUUAGCAACUGCUAUUGAUCCUCAAAUAGGGGCCGAGCUGUCUGUUUUGAACGCCGCUGCCCGGUCGAUCCCAUCUGACCUACUGUUCACAAGCCACCACUUGACAGCGCAGACUCUUCAGAGGCCUGCCUGAUGCCCAUCAGCAUGAGGGACUCAAGUCUUCAUCCUCCAUCAUUACAGCACAAAGACAUCUGGACGAUUGUCAAGGACGUCACAAUCUCUGUGAUAGCUGACAUAUCCCAUGGGGCAUUGCAGGAAAAGGAAAGCAAAAUCACUCUUGCGUGAGCAAAUACAGUAUGGGUGGCUCCAUUAAUGCAGUUAUCUUGCAGUGCUGUCUGGUAGGUAGCUGCUUCUAGAUAUUACAGGUUUCCACACUUUCAAUUACAAUCUUCACUGUUACAUCUACACUUUAGGGGUAUAACAGCUGUUAUGUUGUUUGCUAACCUUUAUGUUCCCUCAGCAUGAAAGUAUAUUUUUAUCAA